Pseudoliparis swirei is the source of this 439-nucleotide long non-coding RNA. RefSeq lists it as uncharacterized. The transcript is spliced from 4 exons. NCBI's taxonomy places the organism in Eukaryota, Metazoa, Chordata, Actinopteri, Perciformes, Liparidae. The record is from RefSeq and is a predicted model, not a curated record.
GUUUAAUUGGCUGACUUUUAUCGCAGGCAUAUGCUAAACUGCGACAGGGACUAAAGAGGAAAAAGCGAGUGCCUAAUUGAUACCAAAACGUUUCUGCAAGAUAUCACCAUGCUGCUGAAGGUGAGAUACCAGAGGACCAAGAAGUACAUCCGAUUACAGCUAGGUUUCACCUAUUUUGAAUUCAUCACUGCAGUCAAAAACAAAUUUGGACUCCAUGAUGCAGCUGAACUUCACAUAUUUGAUGAAACUGACACUGCAGUGGAGGAAGACAUUCUUCUUGAACUGAUAGAGUCCAAUCCAGACCUUUGCCUGAUCGUGCGUGACAGCAUUUCAGAUGAAGAUCAUUCAACACCAUCUUCUCUCACGGAUACCAUGACGCUUUCUUCAAGUGACAAUGACCUCUCCGGUCAAAGACAAAGGGGGAUUUUGAGCUCUGAGG